UAUAAGUUGUUUUGACUGUUUUUGACGAGU
Molecule: non-coding RNA, 30 nt
Filed under: Mus musculus (house mouse)
Lineage: Eukaryota; Metazoa; Chordata; Mammalia; Rodentia; Muridae
Source: RNAcentral